Molecule: long non-coding RNA, 1819 nt
Organism: Papio anubis (olive baboon)
Lineage: Eukaryota; Metazoa; Chordata; Mammalia; Primates; Cercopithecidae
Source: Ensembl
CAUGGAACAAGUGCCUGUUUCAGUCUCUUAUUUAAGCACCGCAGAUGCGUUGAAACCUAAUAAAAACAGUUCCCUGGCAUAUCAACCCUAACCAGAGAGUAAGAAGCUAAAAAUCUGUGAAUCGCCUACAACCAAAGGGGAGUCUUUUGAGAGCUGCAUUGUUAAAACUCUGAGAACAGGUGCUCUCCAGAUACGUUCUCAAGGACACAUUCAUCUGUGAAUGCGGAUUUUUAUUCCUGUGCCUCAUUCUGUUGGAGCUGUAGAAAACCAAACUCUAUCUGGUCAAGAGCUCAGGGUGAUCUUUGAGCUAACGAGGACGCUAGGUGACACCAAGCCCAAACACUCUCUGAGCAAGUGCCUGGUCCUGAGAGGUGAUCGAGGUCACACGACUAUAAGAUAUAGGCAGGAACUGAAAAAUCACAUCUCCAGACUCAUCACUUGAUACCUGCUUGGGCGUAACUAUUUGUAUUCAACUGGUAACAGCCUAACUACACUUUUGAUCCUAUGGGAAUAGACAGUCUGGAAUGUGGUGAUACUCUGUAGCUAUCAAAUCUGCAGGUGAGAGAAAUAAUAUUUAUGAAAAUAAUCCAAAGAACAUGCAGUCCAUUUAUUUCUCUAAACGGUUAUUUCUCAACCUUUUGCUUUUUAAAUUGGUCCCUUAUGGAGCCUUUUUAGGCAUUUUUCUCCUUAUCACCUUCCUGCUCCUAGAGAAACUUGAAUAUCAGAGAUAAGUGGUGUAUAUAUUUAUGUACUGUGGCCCUUUAGAAGUCUACAAGCUAUUUUAAGAUCUAAGAUUUUCUUGCCUCCUAAGAACAAAUAAUCAUCUGCUUUUGGAUGGUAUUGCCUAUGUUGAAAAUUCAUGCUCCAAGCACUAGGAAAUCUAUCCCUGGACUGAUAGAAUAUUUCUCUGCCUACACUCCAUUAUAUUGACUCCCAACAAUUGCUUUUUUGCUUAACUGUCCUGUACUUUGGAUUAAUAUGUAUAUCUAGUAAUGCUAUAAGAAACAACACCAAUAAACUACUGUAAGGCUACAGAUAAAUUGCUAAUUGGAGGCAACAUAGCAUAGUGAUUACAAGUUCUAUCUGACCACUUAAAUUUAAUCUUGACAUUACCACUUACUAGCUAUGCAACAUUAGACCUAUUAUAUAUCAUCUCUCUAAGUCUCAAUUUGCUCAUGUAUAAAAUGAGAAUAAUAAUAGUACUCACACCACAGGAUGAUAAGAAUUAAGGAUAAAACAAACAUAAACUGCCUGACCCAGAAUAAAUGUUCAGCAAUAUUAGCUCUUAGAUAUACAUACAGUAAUGCAGGGUGCUCUCCACAAAUAUUCUAAAUGGAAUGUUUUUUAGCCAGGACCAGUGGCUUAUAUCUGUAAUCUCAUUGUUUUAGGAGGCUGACGUGGGAAGAUCACUUGAUACCAGAAGUUUGAGACCAGCCUGAGCAACAUAGUAAGAUCCUGUCUCUCCAAAAAAAUUUUUUAAAAAAAGAAAAGCUUAGAACUUAGCCUGGUGUGGUGGGGUGUAUAUACUGCCUGAAGUCCCAGCUAUUCAAGAGGCUGAGUUGGGUGGAUUGCUUGAGCCCAGGAGAUCGAGGUUACAAGGCUACACUGAGCCAUGAUCACACCACUGGACUCCGGCCUGGAUAACAGAGCAAGGCCCCAUUUCAAAUAAGACAAAAAACAAAAAAAACAAAAAACAAACAAAUAAACAAAAACAGAAAACAAACAAAAAAACUCCAAAAUCAAAAAGAAUGUUUUUACUUGUCAUACUGAGUAUGUUCACACUGGUCAUAUUAGUUGAGUAAUGGAUUUUAUCUGCAGA